RNAcentral lists this non-coding RNA (155 nucleotides) under Candidatus Omnitrophota bacterium. RNAcentral describes it as "Candidatus Omnitrophica bacterium 6S RNA". It matches the Rfam family "6S / SsrS RNA". From Rfam's summary of the family: E. coli 6S RNA was the first non coding RNA to be sequenced, but its function was unknown until recently. It consists of 184 nucleotides that fold into an extended hairpin structure with a large single-stranded internal bulge. Lineage: Bacteria; Pseudomonadati; Candidatus Omnitrophota. The record is from RNAcentral.
AAAUCCCUGCGGUGUGCGUUAGAAGCCAUUAAUAAAGAACCAAUUAAUGAAUAUGGGACGCUAAACUUCCAUGAUGUCUAAGGGCAUUUUGGGGAGGUUCCCACUUAGAGAAUAGGUUCACUUAUUCCUCGGCACGACGGCACAGCGGGGAUUUU